AGUGAACGCUGGCGGUAGGCCUAACACAUGCAAGUCGAACGGCAGCACAGUAAGAGCUUGCUCUUACGGGUGGCGAGUGGCGGACGGGUGAGGAAUACAUCGGAAUCUACUUUUUCGUGGAGGAUAACGUAGGGAAACUUACGCUAAUACCGCAUACGACCUACGGGUGAAAGCAGGGGAUCUUCGGACCUUGCGCGAUUGAAUGAGCCGAUGUCGGAUUAGCUAGUUGGCGGGGUAAAGGCCCACCAAGGCGACGAUCCGUAGCUGGUCUGAGAGGAUGAUCAGCCACACUGGAACUGAGACACGGUCCAGACUCCUACGGGAGGCAGCAGUGGGGAAUAUUGGACAAUGGGCGCAAGCCUGAUCCAGCCAUACCGCGUGGGUGAAGAAGGCCUUCGGGUUGUAAAGCCCUUUUGUUGGGAAAGAAAAGCAGCAGGUUAAUACCCCGCUGUUCUGACGGUACCCAAAGAAUAAGCACCGGCUAACUUCGUG
Molecule: ribosomal RNA, 492 nt
Filed under: uncultured bacterium
Lineage: Bacteria
Description: partial 16S ribosomal RNA
Rfam family: Bacterial small subunit ribosomal RNA
Source: RNAcentral